Molecule: ribosomal RNA, 1016 nt
Filed under: Vibrio cholerae
Lineage: Bacteria; Pseudomonadati; Pseudomonadota; Gammaproteobacteria; Vibrionales; Vibrionaceae
Also listed under: 3 other names
Description: partial 23S ribosomal RNA
Rfam family: Bacterial large subunit ribosomal RNA
Source: RNAcentral
UCUUUUAGAUAUUGGGUAGGGGAGCGUUCUGUAAGCCGUUGAAGGUGAAUCGUAAGGUUUGCUGGAGGUAUCAGAAGUGCGAAUGCUGACAUGAGUAACGACAAAGGGGGUGAAAAACCUCCUCGCCGGAAGACCAAGGGUUCCUGUCCAACGUUAAUCGGGGCAGGGUGAGUCGACCCCUAAGGUGAGGCCGAAAGGCGUAAUCGAUGGGAAACGGGUUAAUAUUCCCGUACUUCUGACUAUUGCGAUGGGGGGACGGAGAAGGCUAGGUGGGCCAGGCGACGGUUGUCCUGGUUCAAGUGCGUAGGCUUGAGAGUUAGGUAAAUCCGGCUCUCUCUAAGGCUGAGACACGACGUCGAGCUACUACGGUAGUGAAGUCAUUGAUGCCAUGCUUCCAGGAAAAGCCUCUAAGCUUCAGAUAGUCAGGAAUCGUACCCCAAACCGACACAGGUGGUCGGGUAGAGAAUACCAAGGCGCUUGAGAGAACUCGGGUGAAGGAACUAGGCAAAAUGGUACCGUAACUUCGGGAGAAGGUACGCUCUUGAUGGUGAAGUCCCUCGCGGAUGGAGCUGACGAGAGUCGCAGAUACCAGGUGGCUGCAACUGUUUAUUAAAAACACAGCACUGUGCAAAAUCGCAAGAUGACGUAUACGGUGUGACGCCUGCCCGGUGCCGGAAGGUUAAUUGAUGGGGUUAGCGCAAGCGAAGCUCUUGAUCGAAGCCCCGGUAAACGGCGGCCGUAACUAUAACGGUCCUAAGGUAGCGAAAUUCCUUGUCGGGUAAGUUCCGACCUGCACGAAUGGCGUAAUGAUGGCCACGCUGUCUCCACCCGAGACUCAGUGAAAUUGAAAUCGCUGUGAAGAUGCAGUGUACCCGCGGCUAGACGGAAAGACCCCGUGAACCUUUACUACAGCUUGGCACUGAACAUUGAACCUACAUGUGUAGGAUAGGUGGGAGGCUAUGAAGACGUGACGCCAGUUGCGUUGGAGCCGUCCUUGAAAUACCACCCUUGUAUGU